RNAcentral lists this ribosomal RNA (452 nucleotides) under Psammetichus loksai. Its description in RNAcentral is "partial large subunit ribosomal RNA". It matches the Rfam family "Bacterial large subunit ribosomal RNA", at positions 1809 to 2532 of the family's 2925-position model. The record is from RNAcentral. Lineage: Eukaryota; Metazoa; Arthropoda; Insecta; Coleoptera; Tenebrionidae.
AAAAACAUGUCCUUUUGUUUAUGAUUUAAGGUCUGACCUGCCCAAUGAUUAUUUGAAUGGCCGCAGUAUUUUGACUGUGCAAAGGUAGCAUAAUCAUUAGUUUUUUAAAUGGAAGCUGGUAUGAAUGGUUUGAUGAGAAAAUAGCUGUCUCAAUAUAAUUGAUUUAGAAUUUUAAUUUUAAGUUAAAAAGCUUAAAUGUUUUAGAAAGACGAGAAGACCCUAUAGAGUUUUAUUUUUUAUUUGAUAUAUAUUUUAUGGGUUUUGGUAUUAUUUAUUAUUUAAAGAAUUUUGUUGGGGUGAUGUAAAAAUUUAGUUAACUUUUUAUUUAUUUAUCCAUUUAUUUAUGAAUUUUUGAUCCUUUAUUUUAGAUUAUAAGAUUAAAUUACCUUAGGGAUAACAGCGUAAUUUUUUUGGAGAGUUCUUAUCGAUAAAGAAGUUUGCGACCUCGAUGU